Non-coding RNA from Hypoxylon sp. FL1150, 73 nucleotides. The record is from the annotation of a GenBank genome assembly. NCBI's taxonomy places the organism in Eukaryota, Fungi, Ascomycota, Sordariomycetes, Xylariales, Hypoxylaceae.
GUCCGUAUAGCUCAAUCGGUAGAGCGUGAGAUUUGGUAGCUCGAGGUUGCAGGUUCAAAUCCUGUUAUGGAUU